CGAGCAACUAUCUAUCUAUAGAAAAAAGUCAUUGUUUGACGCGUUUAUGAGUUUUUAUUUCUCAUAAUGUAAUUAAGCUCUUUUCCAAGCAUUUCGUGCAUACUAACAUUAUUUUAAGUAAAUAAGCUUAACAAAGUUGCUGCUUGACAAAGUUGCAUUGAAUUUCUUUGGUAUUUCUCCAUAAUAAUUUCUAACAUGGUUAAUCACUAGUUUUCAAACAUAUCUAUGUUUCAACAAGCAACAGUUAGAGAAACGGCAUUUAUACAACUUUUUCAAGCUAUUUUAAUUAGUCACAAAAUAAAUAACGACUUGACAAUAGUUCAAAUGUCUCACUAAAAAUGGAAAGCAUAAAUUACUUGCAUUAGCGGUAAAAAAAAUGAACACUUGCAUGCUUAUGUUUGUGUUGUAUGCACGCACAAGUGUAUAAAUCAAUGAACAAUGAAAUGCUUGCUGCAACCGUGCCUGAGAGCUGCCAUUAAUUUCAACACCUUACAAUGAUUGUCAGUUCAAACAGUAAUUCAUCAAAUAUGAGCACUUUUACAAUGACUGGCUGUUGUUUUUGUUGCUGGCGGCGGCAAUGGUGACUUGCAUGGCUGCGCAAAAUGCUAUGCAACCGCCGCUGAGGCAUGCAGCACACCGAACGACGCCUGUUUUGGGCGUGUUAUGGGUUUUCACGUUGCGAAGGCUUUGUGUGGAAAACACAGAGGCAAACUUUACGUGAUAAAGUGUUGUGUGUAACAAAAAAAAAACGGCGCAUAUUAACAACGAUUACAGAAGUCUUUAAAAUGUAAGCAUAAUAGCUUGAUGGGAUUAUUUUCGAACCAAAGCAUGUAUUGCUAUUCAUAAUCGUGUGGAACGGCACGAAAGUAUUUUUUCUCGAUUUUACAAGUAUAAAAAUUGUUGCACGCGUGAGCACGAAAACAUUUAGCCUAGUUAUACGAUUAUUGUGAAGACUUCCUAUGAAUGCAUCAAUUGUAGUUUUGUUGUUUAACUGCGCUCAAAAGACUUCUCAAGAGAUAUUUAAGGAUUUAAAUUUUUUUGGCGCGAUGAAAAAUAAAUCAUAUCGCAUAUUCUAAAAAGCAGAGAAAAUCCAUCGUGAUGAGAGUCUUGAAGCAACCCUUAUUGGUCACCCUUAGUCAACAAUAUGUGGACGACUUUAUCACUGAUGUAAUAACCAUAUUUAAUAAUAUAUAAAUGGUAUAGUAGACUGCAAAUAUUUAAGGCAUUAUCAAAUUCAUCUUACCUGAAAAGAAAAUGAAAAAAAGAAUUAUUAAAAAGUUCCCCAGUAUGAAUAAAAAUGUAUACUUAUAAAUUUCUAAACGAAAUAAAUAACAUUCACAAUUUCUGUGACAAAAGUAAA
Bactrocera oleae (olive fruit fly) is the source of this 1360-nucleotide non-coding RNA. NCBI's taxonomy places the organism in Eukaryota, Metazoa, Arthropoda, Insecta, Diptera, Tephritidae. The record is from RefSeq and is a predicted model, not a curated record.